AGAGUUUGAUCCUGGCUCAGAUUGAACGCUGGCGGCAUGCCUUACACAUGCAAGUCGAACGGUAACAGGUCUUCGGAUGCUGACGAGUGGCGAACGGGUGAGUAAUACAUCGGAACGUGCCCGAUCGUGGGGGAUAACGAAGCGAAAGCUUUGCUAAUACCGCAUAAGAUCUACGGAUGAAAGCAGGGGACCGCAAGGCCUUGCGCGAACGGAGCGGCCGAUGGCAGAUUAGGUAGUUGGUGGGAUAAAAGCUUACCAAGCCGACGAUCUGUAGCUGGUYUGAGAGGACGACCAGCCACACUGGGACUGAGACACGGCCCAGACUCCUACGGGAGGCAGCAGUGGGGAAUUUUGGACAAUGGGCGAAAGCCUGAUCCAGCCAUGCCGCGUGCAGGAUGAAGGCCUUCGGGUUGUAAACUGCUUUUGUACGGAACGAAAAGACUCUGGUUAAUACCUGGGGUCCAUGACGGUACCGUAAGAAUAAGCACCGGCUAACUACGUGCCAGCAGCCGCGGUAAUAC
RNAcentral lists this ribosomal RNA (521 nucleotides) under uncultured Acidovorax sp. RNAcentral describes it as "bacterial SSU rRNA". It matches the Rfam family "Bacterial small subunit ribosomal RNA", at positions 8 to 526 of the family's 1533-position model. Lineage: Bacteria; Pseudomonadati; Pseudomonadota; Betaproteobacteria; Burkholderiales; Comamonadaceae. The record is from RNAcentral.